AGGCCCGUCCUCUAUAAACUACCCCAAGCUGCUUCUCUAAGAUUACCUCCUAUCUCCCCACCAGGUAGCUGUGCCCAGCACCCUCCGCUCUGCUGCCCCAGGGCAGAUCCCCAGUGCCAGAGGGGUGGCUGCUACUGCGAUGAGUUCUGCCGCGCUGUGCCCGACUGCUGCCCGGAUUACGGGGACGUCUGUCACCCUGGUUCCCAGACAACCACCCUUGUGCUGCAGGUGGUCGUGAGGAUGUUCCCGCCCAAGAGUCCUACCCCAGGAAGCCAGGCCUGGGUCCUGACUGUGGUUGGGGAAAGUAAAUGGGGAGUAGUGUGGCCUAG
This 329-nucleotide long non-coding RNA is filed under the name Ornithorhynchus anatinus (platypus). RNAcentral describes it as "lncRNA (ENSOANG00000043664.1)". Lineage: Eukaryota; Metazoa; Chordata; Mammalia; Monotremata; Ornithorhynchidae. The record is from RNAcentral.